GAUGAACGCUGGCGGCGUGCCUAAUACAUGCAAGUCGAGCGAACGGGCUUGAAGCUUGCUCUUCGGAUGGUAGCGGCGGACGUGUGAUUAACACCUGGAGAACCUACCUAUAGUACCGGGCUAUCUUGGGGAAACUGGCACUAAUACCAGAUAAUUUUUUCAACCUCACAUUUCAAAAGUAAAAGACGGUCUUGCUAUCACUUAUAUAUGUUUCCGGUCUGCAGUGGCUAGUUGGUAAGGUUACUGCUUACCAAGCCAACGAUGCAUAGCCGACCUGAGAGGGUGAUCGGACACACUAGAGAUGAGACACGCGCCAGAAUCCUGAGGGAGGCAGAAGUAGGAAACCUUCGGCAAUGGGCGAAGGCCUGACGGAGCAACGGGGCGUGAGUGAUGAGGAUCUUCGGAUCGUAAAACACUGUUAUUAUGGAAGAACAUAUGUGUAAGUAAAUGUGCACAUCUUGACGGUACUUAAUCAGAAAGCCACGGCUAACUACGUG
RNAcentral lists this ribosomal RNA (497 nucleotides) under uncultured bacterium. RNAcentral describes it as "partial 16S ribosomal RNA". It matches the Rfam family "Bacterial small subunit ribosomal RNA", at positions 28 to 507 of the family's 1533-position model. The record is from RNAcentral.